Molecule: long non-coding RNA, 3650 nt
Filed under: Canis lupus familiaris (dog)
Lineage: Eukaryota; Metazoa; Chordata; Mammalia; Carnivora; Canidae
Description: lncRNA (ENSCAFG00000050221.1)
Source: RNAcentral
ACUGUCUCCUUUUAAAUAAAAAUUUCCUCAUGUUUUCAUCAUACAGUGACUUAAAUCUGCAUGACCUGUAUAAAUCCUUAUUCCUAUAAGUCCGAUGCACCUAUAAAAUCCAAAGAGAUUAUAAAAUAAAUGAAAGUAAAGCUAGAAGAAUAAAUUUGUUGCCAACCAAUAAUAUUUAUUCAUCUAGAUAAUUUUGUUGAAAUUAAACUAUAGAUGCAGGCUUUAACAAUAAAGAAUAUGUAUUUAAUAAUAAGGAAAAGUUUGCCCUAUUUCUAUUUUAAAUUUUGUUCCACAUUGACUUAAAUAUACAAUAUAGAACGUAUCUAUUUGCAUUGGUAUCUUCUAUAAAAUAUUGAUAACUUUGACUUGACUGCUUGAGCUAAUCAAGCUUCUCACUUUAACGAAACUCUGUCACAAAAGCUUCUCUAAUGAUGAUUUUAAUUAGCAUUCCUGUGUUAUUUGAAUACAAAGUUUGCAGAGCUGCAUUACUGAAUUCUACAUUUCGUGAGCAUAUAUGGUAAUCGCUGCCAGAUUCAGGAGCAGAAAAGUCUUCGCUGAAAAUAAACUGUUGCAAAUUGACAAAUGUGUCUGCUCACAAUCUGAAGGCGGUAAUAUCUGUGAUCACAGAGGUCUUUUUGAACUCAACUAUCAUCUGCCAGUGAGAGAUGUGUUAGGGCCCUAAUUCCUCCAUCAAUUUUCUCAGAUUACUACAAAGCCCUCAUUUCUACAGCGUACCACAAACGUUUCCAUGUGGUCUUUAGCCGAGUGAAGUUAAACGCAAAAGUAAUUUAUUAUAGCAGAAAUAAACAGCUGGGAUUCAGCUACCGGCAUAAAUCAGAUGAUCCAAAAUACGUUUGUAGUUAAGUGUUUAAUUAAAGAUAAAAUCAAACACUUAAUGCAAAAAUAUGGAAAAGUUGAAGGCCUCUGAGAAGGUCUCCUAGGCUAGGAGGGGAUUUGGGGUCACCGUUUGAGAAAUGGGGAUUCUGAGCAUACUUGCUGUUAAAAAUAUUAAGGUUCUUUUUAUAAGUGAUUUCUUAGAAUGCAUUUUCUUUUAUGUAAAAAUGUAAAAGUAAGAAACUAGUGGGAGAAGCUAAAUAUAUUAUUGAGGCUCCAAACGAUCCUAUUAUCCAUUGAUACUCUCUGGUUUUCUUAUAGGACAUAGAAUCUGUAGGAGAUGAAGGUAAAUAUUCAACUAGUGACUUGAAAAAUUCAUGUAGAUGAGAAAUAGCGUCCCUAGGUACUCUCAAAGAUCCUUGUUUUACUUACCUUGUUUAUCUACUCUGCUCCUUUGAAGCAGGCAAGAGGAAAACGUCUGUAAGUCCUGUCUUUCCUGUGUUCAGUGGGGAUGCUAAUGAGCAUAACAUUUUCAAAGAUAAUAGAACAAGUAGGAGACAGAGGAACACCAGGGCAUGGAAGAUGAACUCGCUGGAUCAUUGGCUCCCCUGCAAAGAGAGCUAGCUGACCCCCUAACAUAAUAAGAAGGCAGAUUAUUUUUUAAAGUUAUACAUUUCUGGUAUUUUGGAAAAGAUCAGUGUUUGUCAGCAGGAUACUUCUACAAUUUCAAAGAAAAUCGUUGGUGUACCAUCCUUUCAAUUAAAAAUAGGUAAAAAUGUUAAUAGACAAGUGAGCAGAGUUCAACUUGCAGGCCUUUCCCAUUAGAGCAGUCCUCCGUUCUCUGUGACAACGAAAAGCAUCUGACACGUAGGAGCUUCAAGAUCAGUGUAUUGUAGUUUGUGGUGGAAAGAGUAAGUGAAACUUUUAACACUGAAUUCCUGGUAGCUUUAACGCAGGGUUAAUGAUCAUUUUUGAGCUUGCAAACUUCCAUAAUUGUACCUGGAACUGAAUCAUUGAUUAUUUUCAGUAGAAAGGAUCGGUAGAUACGUGCUUAUCUUAUCUCUUCAUUUCAGAGCUAAGUCUGACUGAGGGAGAAUAGCUUACUUGUAGGGACAUAGAGAUGUCUGCUAGAUGAAAUUUGGGUUAGGGUGUUCGUUUCAUGAUUAACUGCAGUAUGGCUGGGGCGGGGAGGGUUUUAACUUUCCUAAGCCUCACUGUUUUUACCUAUAAAAUAGGAAGGAGGGGAUCCCUGGGUGGCUCAGUGGUUUAGCGCCUGCCUUCUGCCCAGGGUGCCAAACCGCUGCGCCACCCAGGGAUCCCUAAUAGUAAGAUUUUAAGAGAGUUUUUUCCCCUCAAGAACAUAGAAUUUAUUGUUUCUUUAUUGAAGAUUCUUAUGUGAGUGCUUCUUAUUUCCUGAUGAGAUUUCUACUUUGGCGGGAAAAUGCACGUUCUUCAUAAUCUCGCUCCUACUGUCCUUUCCUUGUUAAUCACUCCUCUGCUAUACAUCAUCUUCCAGCCAUAGCAAUAAUGUCUUCUCUGUGUUCUGGACCCAUAUGCUCUUUCAUAUAAUAGGGCUUUUAUGUAUGCUCCCCCAUUUGUCAGAAAUGCUCCAUCAUUUUGUUCUAUUAGGCAAACUCCUACUCUGCAAAAUCUCUGCUGAGGGCCCUCUUCCCUCUGUGCCCUUACAUACUUGCUAAGACCUUCUAGUAGAGCCCUUACCAAUUUAUACCAUAAGGCACAGUCUUAUAUUGCCCAUCUAAUCUAACUGGGCAUGAGUCUUUAAAGGCACAGUAUAUCACUGAUUUUGUAUCACCAGCAAUUUCGGCUGAGUCAAAUAAAUUAAAAGUCUAAACUUUGAAGAGCAAAUGUAGGUAUGUUCCAAAAGCAAGAGACUUUAAGAGGGAAAAUGGCUCAAGAAUGAUAGAAGGCUCUCCUGAUGAAAUCGUGAGGAUACACUAACAUAUGACCUAACUAAGGGAAAAAAAAUCUAUUUGAAGAGGCUUAUGUAGUUGUACAGGCUGUUCUCCAAUGAGUAAGAUAUCAGCGGGAAUGUACAUAAAAAGGAAAUGUAGCUAGGUGCAGAGAAAAGAUAGGAGUAACUCAGGAGGAAGGUGAUUCAUUCCAGGGCACUAAGCCAUCCUUAGAGCUCCAUUCUACUAUCGGAAAGCAGGGUCCUUUCACGGAGAAGCAGGAUGGGGAAAAAAGAUCACAGUGUCCACCAGACCACAAAAGAUGUGCCUGGGGACAGUUUUCUAUCCUAUUUGGCUGAUUGAAGUGUGAAAGUAAAUCAAUCAGAUGGAUAAAAUGUCCUAGUUUCAUGACUUCAUGGUGAUAUUAACAAGGGUCCUGACAGCAUCUGCAAUAUAGGUUAUACUUUAGCUCACCCAGAGAAAAAGAUUGGCAAAGAAUAGACCAGUUAUUAGAGCCACAACCAAAUAAGUUAGUAGGAGUCCAUCUCUAGUGGGAUAGAAGAGUGUGUAUCAGUCUGGGGAGGUCAGUUAUUGGGCAAGGAAAUUAUAGUGUGGGAUAUUAAGACUAGGUGGCUGUUGGGUUUUUAGAUACAGGAGAGUGGAAAAUAGUAGGAAAAUUAUCCACUACAGACAAAAGAUUCCAAGCUUGAACUGUGAGAUGUAUUCUCUCCCAGAAGGAAGUGGUGAUUCUAAUAUUUAUUGGCUAUUUCAGCUAGGUCCUCUAGCAGAGGGAUGUUAGGAGAGAUGAAAAUAUAUAGGGCCAACAGUGCAACAUGGCUACUAUAGGCUACUCAGCCCUAUCUUCAUGAAUAAGAACAAACAAACAGGAAUGUAUUAUCUAGAAUA